Molecule: ribosomal RNA, 627 nt
Filed under: uncultured bacterium
Lineage: Bacteria
Description: bacterial SSU rRNA
Rfam family: Bacterial small subunit ribosomal RNA
Source: RNAcentral
GGUGAGUAAAGGCUCACCUAGGCUUCGAUCAGUAGCUGGUCUGAGAGGACGACCAGCCACACUGGAACUGAGACACGGUCCAGACUCGUACGGGAGGCAGCAGUGGGGAAUUUUGGACAAUGGGGGCAACCCUGAUCCAGCCAUUCCGCGUGAGUGAAGAAGGCCUUCGGGUUGUAAAGCUCUUUCGCAAGGGAAGAAACGUUACGAGCGAAUAACUCGUGAUAAUGACGGUACCUUGAUAAGAAGCACCGGCUAACUACGUGCCAGCAGCCGCGGUAAUACGUAGGGUGCGAGCGUUAAUCGGAAUUACUGGGCGUAAAGCGUGCGCAGGCGGUUUUGUAAGUCAGAUGUGAAAUCCCCGAGCUCAACUUGGGAACUGCGUUUGAAACUACAAGGCUAGAGUAUGGUAGAGGGGGGUAGAAUUCCACGUGUAGCAGUGAAAUGCGUAGAGAUGUGGAGGAAUACCAAUGGCGAAGGCAGCCCCCUGGACUAAUACUGACGCUCAUGCACGAAAGCGUGGGGAGCAAACAGGAUUAGAUACCCUGGUAGUCCACGCCCUAAACGAUGUCUACUAGUUGUUGGGAGAGUAAAAUCUCUUAGUAACGCAGCUAACGCGUGAAGUAGACC